RNAcentral lists this ribosomal RNA (374 nucleotides) under uncultured bacterium. RNAcentral's name for it is "bacterial SSU rRNA". It matches the Rfam family "Bacterial small subunit ribosomal RNA", at positions 46 to 392 of the family's 1533-position model. The record is from RNAcentral.
GGCCGCGGGAAUUCGAUUCAGGCCUAACACAUGCAAGUCGAGCGAUGAAACUCCUUCGGGAGUGGAUUAGCGGCGGACGGGCGAGUAACACGUGGGUAACCUGCCUCAUAGAGGGGAAUAGCCUUCCGAAAGAAAGAUUAAUACCGCAUAAUAUUGUAGUUUCGCAUGAAACAGCAAUUAAAGGAGUAAUCCACUAUGAGAUGGACCCGCGUCGCAUUAGCUAGUUGGUGAGGUAACGGCUCACCAAGGCGACGAUGCGUAGCCGACCUGAGAGGGUGAUCGGCCACAUUGGGACUGAAACACGGCCCAGACUCCUACGGGAGGCAGCAGUGGGGAAUAUUCAAGAAGGGGGGAAACCCUGAUGCAGCAACGCC